UACGUAGGGUGCGAGCGUUGUCCGGAAUUACUGGGCGUAAAGAGCUCGUAGGUGGUUUGUCGCGUUGUUCGUGAAAUCCCACGGCUUAACUGUGGGCGUGCGGGCGAUACGGGCAGACUGGAGUACUGCAGGGGAGACUGGAAUUCCUGGUGUAGCGGUGGAAUGCGCAGAUAUCAGGAGGAACACCGAUGGCGAAGGCAGGUCUCUGGGCAUUAACUGACGCUGAGGAGCGAAAGCAUGGGGAGCGAACAGG
RNAcentral lists this ribosomal RNA (253 nucleotides) under uncultured bacterium. RNAcentral's name for it is "partial 16S ribosomal RNA". It matches the Rfam family "Bacterial small subunit ribosomal RNA", at positions 524 to 776 of the family's 1533-position model. The record is from RNAcentral.